ACAGCGUGUCGUCGGCGUAGUAGAUGACC
RNAcentral lists this small RNA (29 nucleotides) under Bombyx mori (domestic silkworm). Its description in RNAcentral is "ovarian small RNA-11109". The record is from RNAcentral. Lineage: Eukaryota; Metazoa; Arthropoda; Insecta; Lepidoptera; Bombycidae.